RNAcentral lists this long non-coding RNA (3689 nucleotides) under Equus asinus (donkey). RNAcentral describes it as "lncRNA (ENSEASG00005034602.1)". Lineage: Eukaryota; Metazoa; Chordata; Mammalia; Perissodactyla; Equidae. The record is from RNAcentral.
GAGUCCCUCCGGUGGGGGAGCAGGCGCGCAGGAAGGGAGGUUUGGAGAGGAGGCCUCGGGCCUCGGAUCUGCAGCCUCCCGCCUCCGCGCCCGGGCUCGCGUCCCGGGGAGUUCUGCGCAGAGGGAUCCCUAGGGCCCCUUGCUGGACACGCCUGUAGGGGGCAGCAGAGGAUGCCUGGGGUUCAAUUAAAAGCAGACUGAAGUGCAGGAGGUGCCAACUGUGGAGGCAGGACCAGUUAAUGCUGCCUGACAAGAAAACUGAUGUCAGAGAAGUUAAGUGGCUUGUUCAAGCUCCCCCAGCUAGGAAGUGGUAGACUGGGUCUAGGCCGUCUGUGACCGUCCAUUACACUGACCUGUGGUCAUGUAUGUGCUCAGGUCUGUCCAUUGCCUACACCAUGUGUCUUGAUAACCUGUGUUGGGUCUCGCUUGCCAGGCCAUCUCUUUGUGUCAGGUUUCGCUUGCUAGGCCUUUCUAUUUUGAAUGAACACUGAAAAUUAUUCCUUUGUAACUUCCACUUAACCUUGCAGACAAGCUCGCUGGUGGUUUGGGCUGCCCUGGCACCUCUCCCUGAACCCAGCCUCUAUGGGGAUUAAUGUCCCCUUGAAGGGAAAGUGGGCCCAGCUUCUCCAGCACAAAGCAGUCAUGAGCGUGUUUGGUGCAUUUGAUCAUUCCAGAAGAACCAUGAGAUUGGAGAGUUUGUCCUGAAGUUAAUAACAGUUACUCAAUACAGACCUCUCAUUGAACCCAGUAUUUGCAGGGAGUGGGCACAGUGACUGGCUUUGGUCAAGGCAGUGGGUCCCUGAACGACCUCAACAGGCAGAGCCUCCUGCCAACCAGCGAUGGACACAAAGAACCAAAAGAGAAAUGAAUGUUUGCUGUUGUAAGCCUCUGACGCGUUGGGGUUGUUUGUUCCUGCACCACAACCUAACUCAUCCUGACUGAAACCGUAUGUGUUCAGAUUCAUUGCACCAUUUGCCCACUCAAGUGUGUCCCUGUUCCUUUGGAUAAUUGGGUCUUAUUGCAGGAAUAAAACACUCUCCAUGUCUCAGCAUUCUUUAAUUCAAUAAAUAACAAUGGAGCGAGUACUGUGGGUGAGCACUGGGCUGGGGGCCCUCUCCUCAGAGAGUGUAAUCAAGAAGAUAAGACGCAUGCACAAAUAUCUUGAAUAAACCUCAGAAAACAGGCAUAAAUUAAAUGUAGGAGCCCAGAGAAGAUCAGAACAGUGUCACAGCCGACCUACACUCCAUCUACACUCACCUUACUACUGUUCGCUGUACAGGCUCUGCUCAUUCUCCCUCACGGACUUUGCGCUUGCUAGUUCUCUCUGAAGUUCUCUUAUAAUUUCCCUCUCCUCUCAAAUGUUCCCCCUCAGCAAGGUCUUUCUUUCCAUGGCCACUUCCCAGAACCCAGGACAGACCCAGAACAGACCUGGCACUCGAUAAAUAUUGUUGAGUAAAUUCUAAAUGAUGCCUUCGAGGAAGUGAUCUUUGAUCACAGGCUUCAGGGAUGGUGGGAGAUUAAUAGUGACGCCGGGAAAGAAAGACAGGAGGGCAGAGUCUUUGCGGAAGAAAGAACAAGACAGUAACAUGGGACAGCCCAUGAACAGGAACAGAAAUUGUUACGCCUGGUCAGUCCCCAUAACCGCCAGCCAGAAGAAAGAGAUUAAACUAACUCCAAAGUCGGUGGUAUGGAGUUGGGGUGGAUUCAACUAUUAUAUUGAUUUCAUCCACGCCACUUCUAAGUCUUCGGGGGUUUUCCCUCAGUUUUAUAGUCAUUACUCAUUAGAACCUAAGCACUGCAUUUUUAAUAGGAAAUAAUUCAAACUCACGGGAUGCAAGACAGCACUUGAGUUGUAAUAUUAAUCUGCCUUUUAAGGCCCCUCUGGCCGACCGGGCUCAGCAUCCUAAGUUAUGACAUUGCUUGUGAUUCAUUAAAAUCCAGCCAGUUCGGGGAAGGAGGGACACCGACCACUUUAACACAGGACUAGCUGUCUUCAACCACCUUUCUCAGGUUCAGACAAUCCAAGUCGCUAAAGGAGCUGCGCAGGAAGACCCACCACACUGUUCUGGACCCCUCUUAAAGCUCUCCGAUGGCCUGUUAAAAAAGGAUUGAGUCUCAGAUGGAAAACUGCCGAAAGCGUCUUGUUUUGAUGCUUGGAACAAUGUAAUGCUGAUUCCAUUAAUUUCUGCGAGAAACAGCUCUGCUCGCUAACCCACUUGCGGCCCGCAGAUGGUUACAGGGUAAACAGUGCUCCCUGGUGGCAACGACCGGCGUUGUCUGCUGGUUGAGAAAGAGAAAGAAGAAGAGCUCAGGUUUUGGCCUCUGAGCAAAGUGGCAGACAGCAGUGUCAUCAAGCUCAGCAGCGUUUCACAGUGAUGGCGUCCUUCUCCUCAGGACCAGUACUGGUCACCAUUAGCCCCUUUGCCUCUGACUUGUGAGUAGAAGUUGUGGUCCUUCCUGGGGCGGCCCAUCUGUAGUCGGAUUUCAGUAGAUAGUGUUUCCAGCUUAAAGCAGUUGCCUUAAUGGAGCUCAGGAGCCUGACAUUGGAUCUUGAUGGAGCGUUCCGAGAUUGGAGCUCAGGCCAGCUGGGACUAGGAGCAAGGCCGGCCAAGGGGAGGAGUGGUUCUCUCCCUGCUGAGCACUACAGAAGGCCUUGCACAUAAAUCCUUCGGGUUGCCAUUGUCUUUAUUGAUGGAACUCAAAUGCUGCUGUGUUAGGCAAGGCUCAGUUAAGGAGGCAGAACCACUGUGAAGAGGGAAUUUAUUUUAGGAAUGAGCCUUAUAUAAUUGUGGGAAAAGCUAGAGAAAUACAGAUCCAGAAGGGGGAGUUGGAGGAUAAGCAAAGAUCACCGGCCAGCUUCCCUGAAGCCCUGCAUGGGAUUCAGGACAAGCUGGGAUUCCCGUAUCUUUCAGGUGAACAGACUGGAACUUGCAGGAGACUCUGGAGAGGCAAGAGUGUCCAGCUUCCAGAGUAGGGCAGCGCAGUGCAAUGCCAGGGGAACCGUUCCCGGAGGAGAGGAAGGAGUUCAGCCUGUGCUGUGGCCAAGUGAGUGCCUACUGGAUCCAUCUUCACACAGGGAACAACUAACAUUCUGCAGGAAAUACGAAACAAAAAGAUCACAAACAAGUGGACACAACGACCUUCCUGAAGGCUCUGAAGAGAGAAGGGACAUUGGAUGAAGGAAAAGGCAUGGAGAAAGGUUCCUGUGUUUGUGGCUUGUCUCCUGAGAACAGGUCACGUCACUGUUGCAUGGAACAACUUACUGUCCUGUGGAAAACAACACUUUCUGGUCUGAAGGACCAGAGGACAGGGUUUGGAACAAUCACAGCCACUGCAAAGUAGAGGCGAGGAGUCCAAAACUGGACAGAACCAGAAAGGAAGACCCUCAAAUUCUGCUCAUAAAUGUCACCCCAGUUUUCGGAAGACCCAUGAACCACAUAUGCAUGGAGGGUAAAAGACCUGAACUGAUUUGAGCUGCAGCCCCAGAGACAUUUUUUUGAGUCCAACUAAGUUGAUCGCCAGCCAACAUUUUAAAAGUUAACGCUUUUCUGGGGCUGGCCCCGUGGUCGAGUGGUUAAGUUCGCGCGCUCUGCUGCAGGCGGCCCAGUGUUUCGUUGGUUCGAAUCCUGGGCGCGGACAUGGCACAGCUCAUCAAACCACGCUGAGGCAGCAUCCCACAUGCCACAACC